CUACGGGUGGCACCAGCUGAGGAAAUUUUACAAUGCUCGCAAGAGUGAUAAAAUAAACCAGAGUGUUUUUCUAUGAAAAACUUUUGUCUGAUGUAAAAAGUCAGACGAAUAAGGACUGGGCAAGACCGGUGCCAGCCGCCGCGGUAAUACCGGCGGUCCGAGUCGCAUCCACAUUUAUUGGGUCUAAAACAUUCGUAGCUUGUUUUGUAAGUUUCUUGUGAAAUCUCAUGUCUCAAGCAUGAGGCGUGCAAGAAAUACUGCAUUACUAGAGACCGGAAGACGUAAGGAGUAUGAUUAAGGUAGUGGUAAAAUACGUUAAUCUUAAUCAGACUAACAAUGGCGAAGGCACCUUACGAGUACGGAUCUGACAGUGAGGGAUGAAGGCUAGGGGCGCGAAAGGGAUUAGAUACCCCCGUAGUC
Molecule: ribosomal RNA, 420 nt
Filed under: uncultured archaeon
Lineage: Archaea
Description: partial 16S ribosomal RNA
Rfam family: Archaeal small subunit ribosomal RNA
Source: RNAcentral